UGCCAGGCCACCGUCCCGCGAGACCAGGGCACGGGCAGGCCCCUGGCCUCUAGCACUGGGGCCAAGCUCGCCGAGCCAUCGUACGGAACCAACGAGCACCAGCCGGAACAGAUCCACCUGUCGUACCAGGGCGACCCCACCUCCAUGACGGUGACCUGGAUGACCAAGGAAAACGUGGGCAGCACAGUGCGGUACGGCCAGGGCCAGUUGGACCUCUCAGUCGACGGAAGUGCCGCCAAAUUCUCCACGGGCGACCGGGACGAGUACGUCCACCGUGCGAUCAUCACCAACCUGACACCUGGCGGGACGUACGAAUAUGUGGUCGGCAGCAGUCAGGGCUGGUCCGACCUGAAGACCUUGACGGCCA
Molecule: long non-coding RNA, 367 nt
Organism: Pollicipes pollicipes
Lineage: Eukaryota; Metazoa; Arthropoda; Thecostraca; Pollicipedomorpha; Pollicipedidae
Exons: 3
Source: RefSeq, a predicted model, not a curated record